GUGUCCACUUCGGUAGCAUAUAUACUACAAUUGGAAUGCAAUAGAGAUUAGCAUGGCCCUUGUGCAAUGAAGACACACACAUCCAGGAAGCAUUUGGUAUUUUG
This 104-nucleotide small nuclear RNA is filed under the name Procavia capensis (Cape rock hyrax). The record is from RNAcentral. Lineage: Eukaryota; Metazoa; Chordata; Mammalia; Hyracoidea; Procaviidae.